UAAUAUUGGGCACAAUCCUCAAAUCAGGGCU
RNAcentral lists this non-coding RNA (31 nucleotides) under Mus musculus (house mouse). The record is from RNAcentral. Lineage: Eukaryota; Metazoa; Chordata; Mammalia; Rodentia; Muridae.